Molecule: ribosomal RNA, 233 nt
Filed under: uncultured bacterium
Lineage: Bacteria
Description: partial 16S ribosomal RNA
Rfam family: Archaeal small subunit ribosomal RNA
Source: RNAcentral
UCCAGGGUGUAAACGCUGUGGGCUUGGUGUUGGGUGUCCUACGAGGGCAUCCAGUGCCGUAGAGAAAUUGUUAAGCUUACUGCCUGGGGAGUACGCUCGCAAGAGUGAAACUUAAAGGAAUUGGCGGGGGAGCACCGCAACGGGUGGAGCGUGCGGUUUAAUUGGAUUCAACGCCGGAAAACUCACCGGGGGAACUGCCGUAGAGAGUCAGGCUGAAGACCUUACUCAUUAAA